This 84-nucleotide transfer RNA is filed under the name candidate division TM6 bacterium JCVI TM6SC1. It matches the Rfam family "tRNA". Rfam says of the family: Transfer RNA (tRNA) molecules are approximately 80 nucleotides in length. Their secondary structure includes four short double-helical elements and three loops (D, anti-codon, and T loops). Further hydrogen bonds mediate the characteristic L-shaped molecular structure. tRNAs have two regions of fundamental functional importance: the anti-codon, which is responsible for specific mRNA codon recognition, and the 3' end, to which the tRNAs corresponding amino acid is attached (by aminoacyl-tRNA synthetases). tRNAs cope with the degeneracy of the genetic code in two manners: having more than one tRNA (with a specific anti-codon) for a particular amino acid; and 'wobble' base-pairing, i.e. permitting non-standard base-pairing at the 3rd anti-codon position. The record is from Rfam by way of RNAcentral.
GGCGAGAUUCCCGAGCGGCCAAAGGGGACGGACUGUAAAUCCGUUGGCUUUACGCCUUCGUAGGUUCGAAUCCUACUCUCGCCA